CCUACGGGAGGCAGCAGUGGGGAAUAUUGGGCAAUGGGCGCAAGCCUGACCCAGCAACGCCGCGUGAAGGAAGAAGGCUCUCGGGUUGUAAACUUCUUUUCUCAGGGACGCAGCAUGUGCCGGUACCUGAGGAAUAUGCCACGGCUAACUACGUGCCAGCAGCCGCGGUAAUACGUCGGUGGCCAGCGUUAUCCGGAUUUACUGGGUGUAAAGGGCGUGUAGGCGGGGACGCAAGUCAGAUGUGACAACCGCGGGCUCAACCUGUGGCCUGCAUUUGAUACUGGGUUUCGUGAGUACUGGAGAGGCAGGCGGAAGUCCUAGUGUAGCGGUGAAAUGCGUAGAUAUUAGGAGGAACACCAGUGGCGAAGGCGGGCUGCUGGACAGCAACUGACGCUGAGGUGCGAAAGCGUGGGUAGCAAACAGGAUUAGAUACCCUAGUAGUC
This 443-nucleotide ribosomal RNA is filed under the name uncultured bacterium. RNAcentral describes it as "partial 16S ribosomal RNA". It matches the Rfam family "Bacterial small subunit ribosomal RNA", at positions 338 to 795 of the family's 1533-position model. The record is from RNAcentral.